GCCCGCAUGGGUGGCAAAACACUCAGCAUAAUGACUGCUUACAAUAUCAGGAAACGCAAUUCCGCGCAACAUUUCAGUGUCCAGGAACACCCGAUUCCUUUCCAUUUUGCUGGGUGUUUUGCCACCCAGGGGAACGUGUCACAGGUCGUGUCCUGACAUGUUCGCGUGGGAAAGUGAUGUCGAUGCAUACCCUCUAUUGCUCAAAGGUUCCCUGAGGGCUCAACACGCUUGCACAGGGGACAAAGGCCUGGAAGAUGCACAUCUGGAAGCCCAGCCUGUAUUUGAAUUACAACUGGAUGACAUCCUCCAUUCUUUUUUCAUCACGUCUUGAGGAAUGUUUGUUCUGGCUUAU
This is a long non-coding RNA of Triplophysa rosa, 352 nucleotides long. RefSeq lists it as uncharacterized. The record is from RefSeq and is a predicted model, not a curated record. Lineage: Eukaryota; Metazoa; Chordata; Actinopteri; Cypriniformes; Nemacheilidae. The transcript has 3 exons.